GUGGUUCCCUCAGAUGGAGGGCUGGAGACUGGACGCAGAAAGUAGAGGAUUCUGGACGAAGAGGUGUCUAAGGUAAAGAAGUUUCUGGAGAGUGAGGUUCAUAUUCUCCAGGAAGAAGAGAUCAAGAAACUCAUAGAGGGAGGUGCAACCGGACUACACAACGGUCCCCAAGUUCAUCGAGCCA
Molecule: long non-coding RNA, 184 nt
Organism: Salvelinus sp. IW2-2015
Lineage: Eukaryota; Metazoa; Chordata; Actinopteri; Salmoniformes; Salmonidae
Source: RefSeq, a predicted model, not a curated record